AACUAUAACGGUCCUAAGGUAGCGAAAUUCCUUGUCAGGUAAGUUCUGACCCGCAUGAAAGGCGUAAUGAUUUGGGCACUGUCUCAACAGCCCGCCCGGCGAAAUUGUAGUACCGGUGAAGAUGCCGGUUACCCGCGACAAGACGGAAAGACCCCAUGGAGCUUUACUGUAGCCUAAUAUUGGGUUUCGAUGUUGCAUGCACAGGAUAGAUGGGACUCUUGGAAACCAAGGCUUUGGCUUUGGCGGAGAGGCCGUUGGGAUACCAUCCUUGCGAUAUUGGAAUUCUAACCUGCGGCUCUGAAUCGAGUCGGGGGACAUUGUUAGGUGGGCAGUUUGACUGGGGCGGUCGCCUCCUAAAGAGUAACGGAGGCGUUCAAAGGUUCGCUCAGCUUGAACGGAAAUCAAGCAAAAGAGUGCAAACGCAGAAGCGAGCCUAACUGCGAGACUGACGGGUCGAGCAGUAACGAAAGUUGGAGUUAGUGAUCCGGUGGUAUGUGAGUGGAAAUGCCAUCGCUCAACGGAUAAAAGUUACCCUGGGGAUAACAGGCUGAUCUCCCCCAAGAGUCCACAUCGACGGGGAGGUUUGGCACCUCGAUGUCGGCUCAUCGCAUCCUGGAGCUGAAGUCGGUUCCAAGGGUUGGGCUGUUCGCCCAUUAAAGCGGUACGCGAGCUGGGUUCAGAACGUCGUGAGACAGUUCGGUCCCUAUCUGUCGUGGGCGCAGGAUAUUUGAUGGGAGCUGUCCCUAGUACGAGAGGACCGGGACGGACGUACCUCUGGCGCACCAGUUGUUCCGCCAGGAGCAUAGCUGGGCAACUACGUACGGAUCGGAUAAACGCUGAAAGCAUCUAAGCGUGAAGCCGACCCAAAGAUAAGAUAUCCCACUGAUUCAAUCAGGUAAGAUCCCUUGUAGACUACGAGGUUGAUAGGCACGAUGUGUAAGUGGAGCGAUCCAUUCAGCAAGUGUGUACUAAUAGAUCGAGGGCUUGACCAC
RNAcentral lists this ribosomal RNA (992 nucleotides) under human gut metagenome. Its description in RNAcentral is "bacterial LSU rRNA". It matches the Rfam family "Bacterial large subunit ribosomal RNA", at positions 1938 to 2925 of the family's 2925-position model. The record is from RNAcentral.